AGAGUUUGAUCAUGGCUCAGGACGAACGCUGGCGGCGUGCCUAAUACAUGCAAGUCGAGCGGACUUAUAAAAGCUUUUUAUAAUUAGCGGCGGACGGGUGAGUAACACGUGGGUAACCUGCCUGUAAGAUUGGGAUAACUCCGGGAAACCGGGGCUAAUACCGAAUAAUACAUAGAAUCGCAUGAUUCUAUGUUGAAAGAUGGCAUCUAGCUAUCACUUACAGAUGGACCCGCGGCGCAUUAGCUAGUUGGUGAGGUAAUGGCUCACCAAGGCAACGAUGCGUAGCCGACCUGAGAGGGUGAUCGGCCACACUGGGACUGAGACACGGCCCAGACUCCUACGGGAGGCAGCAGUAGGGAAUCUUCGGCAAUGGACGAAAGUCUGACCGAGCAACGCCGCGUGAGUGAAGAAGGUUUUCGGAUCGUAAAACUCUGUUGUUAAGGAAGAACAAGUACGAGAGUAACUGCUCGUACCUUGACGGUACUUAACCAGAAAGCCACGGCUAACUACGUGCCAGCAGCCGCGGUAAUACGUAGGUGGCAAGCGUUGUCCGGAAUUAUUGGGCGUAAAGCGCGCGCAGGCGGUCUUUUAAGUCUGAUGUGAAAGCCCCCGGCUCAACCGGGGAGGGUCAUUGGAAACUGGGAGACUUGAGUGCAGAAGAGAAGAGCGGAAUUCCACGUGUAGCGGUGAAAUGCGUAGAGAUGUGGAGGAACACCAGUGGCGAAGGCGGCUCUUUGGUCUGUAACUGCGCUGAGGCGCGAAAGCGUGGGGAGCAAACAGGAUUAGAUACCCUAGUAGUCC
This 801-nucleotide ribosomal RNA is filed under the name uncultured bacterium. Its description in RNAcentral is "bacterial SSU rRNA". It matches the Rfam family "Bacterial small subunit ribosomal RNA", at positions 8 to 796 of the family's 1533-position model. The record is from RNAcentral.